ACCCUGCUGGGUUAUAUUAGUACUGCUGGUACUUUAUUGUGAUUAUAAGAGCUACAGUUCUGACCUCUUGCCCACCACAUACCCUAUGCCACUCUAUACAACUAUUGGUCCUUGCUCCAAUUCAUAUACAAUGGAAGCCUCUCAGAACACUGCAGACGUCCAGACCAUGAUUAAUGAGGCCGUAGCCGCCUCCAUGGAGAAGGCACUCUCCAAAGUGAUGACGGCGAAUACCAAGCAGAGGAAAUCCUCUAAAGCCCACCACUCCAACUUUGAUUCGGACUCUGAGGCUUCAGAACCAUGCACGAAGAAGGACACCCACCCUGGCAAAUGCCACUGG
Non-coding RNA from Pelobates cultripes (western spadefoot toad), 337 nucleotides. The record is from the annotation of a GenBank genome assembly. Lineage: Eukaryota; Metazoa; Chordata; Amphibia; Anura; Pelobatidae.